GAACCUCGUAAUUUAAUCUGAGACGGAAAGCACAACACAAUGAUCCUCCAUUCAGUUAUUCUGCUCUCUGCUUUAGCAUGUGCCAGUAAUGGAGAUACUAUUACACCAGACAAAACUGAGGAGUUUGCUGCUGAAGGUUCAAAUGUUACAUUAUCCUGCAGUUAUUCAUCUGCUUGGUCUUUGCUUUGGUACCGUCAGUAUCCCGGAUCGGCUCCUGAGUUCCUUGUGCUCAUCUCAGAUGGAACAAAAAAAGCUCAGACCUCUGGUGUAGAUAAAAGAUUCAGCACUAAUUUCAGAAAAGAAAAACAGACCAAUGUGGAUCUGAUCAUCUCCUCUGCUGCUGUAUCAGACUCUGCUCUGUAUUACUGUGCUCUGGAGCCCACAGUGACAGGAAACACAAGAACAUUGCACAAAAAUUUGACUGUAAAAAAUAAACAAUGGUCUUCUAAAGACAAGGAGAAACGUGACCCUUAAUUCUUGGGUUUAUUAAGAGAGUGGAGUAGUGGGGAUCACAAACUAUGUUCAAAAGUACCUUCAAGCUAAUACCAUUUUGGAAAAAAAUAUUUCCAAUUGUUUAGUCAUUUGAUACUCUCUC
Molecule: non-coding RNA, 595 nt
Organism: Puntigrus tetrazona (Sumatra barb)
Lineage: Eukaryota; Metazoa; Chordata; Actinopteri; Cypriniformes; Cyprinidae
Source: the annotation of a RefSeq genome assembly